ACAUACGACCAUACCCACUAGAAAAUACGGGAUCCCGUCCGCUCUCCCUUAGUCAAGCUGGUGAGGGGCGAACUAGUACUCGGGUCGGUGACGACCGGGGAAUCCUCGCUGUUGUAUGUU
Neonectria ditissima is the source of this 120-nucleotide ribosomal RNA. NCBI's taxonomy places the organism in Eukaryota, Fungi, Ascomycota, Sordariomycetes, Hypocreales, Nectriaceae. The record is from Rfam.